Molecule: ribosomal RNA, 467 nt
Filed under: uncultured bacterium
Lineage: Bacteria
Description: partial 16S ribosomal RNA
Rfam family: Bacterial small subunit ribosomal RNA
Source: RNAcentral
GAUGAACGCUGACAGAAUGCUUAACACAUGCAAGUCAACUUGAAUUUGGGUUUUUAACUUCGGUUUGGGUGGCGGACGGGUGAGUAACGCGUAAAGAACUUGCCUCACAGCUAGGGACAACAUUUGGAAACGAAUGCUAAUACCUAAUAUUAUGAUAAUAGGGCAUCCUAUAAUUAUGAAAGCUAUAAGCGCUGUGAGAGAGCUUUGCGUCCCAUUAGCUAGUUGGAGAGGUAACGGCUCACCAAGGCGAUGAUGGGUAGCCGGCCUGAGAGGGUGAUCGGCCACAAGGGGACUGAGACACGGCCCUUACGCCUACGGGAGGCAGCAGUGGGGAAUAUUGGACAAUGGACCGAGAGUCUGAUCCAGCAAUUCUGUGUGCACGAUGAAGUUUUUCGGAAUGUAAAGUGCUUUCAGUUGGGAAGAAACAAAUGACGGUACCAACAGAAGAAGUGACGGCUAAAUACGUG